Molecule: ribosomal RNA, 804 nt
Filed under: uncultured bacterium
Lineage: Bacteria
Description: bacterial SSU rRNA
Rfam family: Bacterial small subunit ribosomal RNA
Source: RNAcentral
GUCGAACGGACUGAUUCCUUCGGGAUGAAAGUUAGUGGCGAACGGGUGCGUAAUGUAUGAGCAACCUGCCUCUAUCAACGGGAUAGCAGUUGGAAACGACUGGUAAUACGGUAUAUGACCACAGCACGGCAUCGUGCAGCGGUAAAAGAUUUUAUCGGAUAGAGAUGGGCUCAUAUCCCAUUAGGUAGUUGGUGAGAUAACAGCCCACCAAGCCUACGAUGGGUAGCCGAGCUGAGAGGCUGAUCGGCCACAUUGGGACUGAAACACGGCCCAGACUCCUACGGGAGGCAGCAGUGGGGAAUAUUGGGCAAUGGAGGCAACUCUGACCCAGCAAUGCCGCGUGAGUGAUGAAGGUAAUUUUAUUGUAAAGCUCUUUUCUUUGGAACGAAUAAAUGACGGUACCAAAGGAAUAAGCCCCGGCUAACUACGUGCCAGCAGCCGCGGUAAUACGUAGGGGGCAAGCGUUGUUCGGAAUGACUGGGCGUAAAGGGUGUGUAGGUGGUUUGAUAAGUUAGAUGUGUAAUACCCAGGGCUUAACUCGGGUGCUGCAUCUAAAACUGUUAGACUUGAGUACUGGAGAGGAUAGUGGAAUUCCUAGUGUAGCGGUGGAAUGCGUAGAUAUUAGGAGGAACAUCAGUGGCGAAGGCGACUAUCUGGACAGCAACUGACACUGAGGCACGAAAGCGUGGGGAGCAAACAGGAUUAGAUACCCUGGUAGUCCACGCUGUAAACGAUGGAUACUAGAUGCGGGGGGUAUUCACUCCUUCCGUGUCGUAGCAAACGCACUAAGUAUCCCGCCUGGGG